GUUCCCGUAGCUCAGCAGGAUAGAGCAGCCGCCUCCUAAGCGGCAGGUCGCAGGUUCGACUCCUGCCGGGAACG
This 74-nucleotide transfer RNA is filed under the name Idiomarina seosinensis. It matches the Rfam family "tRNA". Rfam says of the family: Transfer RNA (tRNA) molecules are approximately 80 nucleotides in length. Their secondary structure includes four short double-helical elements and three loops (D, anti-codon, and T loops). The record is from Rfam by way of RNAcentral. RNAcentral also lists the same sequence under 1 other name. Lineage: Bacteria; Pseudomonadati; Pseudomonadota; Gammaproteobacteria; Alteromonadales; Idiomarinaceae.